UAUUAUUAAUGAUAUUAAAUUAUACUGGGGUAGUAAUAAAUGUUUUUGAAACUCAAAGAAUUUGGCGGUAUUUUAGUCUUUUCAGGGGAACUUGUUUUUUAAUUGAUAAUACACGAUUUGUUUAACUUAAUUAUGUUAUCAGUUUGUAUACCGCCGUCAUAAGAUUAUUUUUAUUUUGAGAAUUAAAUUUUCUUAUAUUUAUAUUAGAGGAUAUGUCAGGUCAAGGUGCAGUUUAUGAUUAAGGUAUAAAUGAGUUACAAUAGUUUUAAUUUAUUAUGGAUAAUUAUUGUAAGUUUAAUUUGAAGGUGAAUUUGAUUGUAAAUUUAUUUUUAAUUUUUUUGUUGAUUGAGGCUCUAAAAUGUGUACAUAUCGCCCGUCGCUCUCGUAAUUAUAUAUGAG
RNAcentral lists this ribosomal RNA (399 nucleotides) under Cardiodactylus fruhstorferi. RNAcentral's name for it is "partial small subunit ribosomal RNA". The record is from RNAcentral. Lineage: Eukaryota; Metazoa; Arthropoda; Insecta; Orthoptera; Gryllidae.